GACGAACGCUGGCGGCGUGCUUAACACAUGCAAGUCGAGCGGUAAGGCCCUUUCGGGGGUACACGAGCGGCGAACGGGUGAGUAACACGUGGGUGACCUGCCCUUAGCUCUGGGAUAAGCCUGGGAAACUGGGUCUAAUACCGGAUAUGACUCCAUAACGCAUGUUGUGGGGUGAAAGCCUUGUGCGGCUAGGGAUGGGCCC
Molecule: ribosomal RNA, 202 nt
Filed under: uncultured bacterium
Lineage: Bacteria
Description: partial 16S ribosomal RNA
Rfam family: Bacterial small subunit ribosomal RNA
Source: RNAcentral